This 348-nucleotide unclassified non-coding RNA is filed under the name soil metagenome. RNAcentral's name for it is "partial contains 5.8S ribosomal RNA, internal transcribed spacer 2, and large subunit ribosomal RNA". The stretch from base 1 to 120 matches the Rfam family "5.8S ribosomal RNA", at positions 35 to 154 of the family's 154-position model. The record is from RNAcentral.
GAUGAAGAACGUAGUGAAAUGCGAUAAGUAAUGUGAAUUGCAGAAUUCAGUGAAUCAUCGAGUCUUUGAACGCACAUUGCGCCCCCUGGUAUUCCGGGGGGCAUGCCUGUCCGAGCGUCAUUGCUGCCCUCAAGCACGGCUUGUGUGUUGGGCCCCCGUCCCCGGUUUCCCCCGGGGACGGGCCCGAAAGGCAGCGGCGGCACCGCGUCCGGUCCUCGAGCGUAUGGGGCUUUGUCACCCGCUCUGUAGGCCCGGCCGGCGCCAGCCGACACCCCACUUUAUUUCUAAGGUUGACCUCGGAUCAGGUAGGGAUACCCGCUGAACUUAAGCAUAUCAAUAAGCGGAGGA